RNAcentral lists this ribosomal RNA (621 nucleotides) under uncultured bacterium. Its description in RNAcentral is "bacterial SSU rRNA". The stretch from base 1 to 542 matches the Rfam family "Bacterial small subunit ribosomal RNA", at positions 338 to 873 of the family's 1533-position model. The record is from RNAcentral.
CCUACGGGAGGCAGCAGUGGGGAAUUUUGGACAAUGGGCGCAAGCCUGAUCCAGCAAUGCCGCGUGCAGGAUGAAGGCCUUCGGGCUGUAAACUGCUUUUGUACGGAACGAAACGGUCUGCUUUAAUACAGUGGGCUAAUGACGGUACCGUAAGAAUAAGCACCGGCUAACUACGUGCCAGCAGCCGCGGUAAUACGUAGGGUGCGAGCGUUAAUCGGAAUUACUGGGCGUAAAGCGUGCGCGGGCGGUUAUAUAAGACAGAUGUGAAAUCCCCGGGCUCAACCUGGGACCUGCAUUUGUGACUGUAUAGCUAGAGUACGGUAGAGGGGGAUGGAAUUCCGCGUGUAGCAGUGAAAUGCGUAGAUAUGCGGAGGAACACCGAUGGCGAAGGCAAUCCCCUGGACCUGUACUGACGCUCAUGCACGAAAGCGUGGGGAGCAAACAGGAUUAGAUACCCUGGUAGUCCACGCCCUAAACGAUGUCAACUGGUUNUUGGGUCUUCACUGACUCAGUAACGAAGCUAACGCGUGAAGUUGACCGCCUGGGGUGGUACGGCGCGAGUAGUUAAGUUAGAAGAAGNGACGGCGNGAGACGNGCGACGGACGACGACGAGGGAGGAGG